Molecule: ribosomal RNA, 465 nt
Filed under: uncultured bacterium
Lineage: Bacteria
Description: partial 16S ribosomal RNA
Rfam family: Bacterial small subunit ribosomal RNA
Source: RNAcentral
GACGAACGCUGGCGGCGUGCUUAACACAUGCAAGUCGAACGGAAAGGCCCUGCUUGCAGGGUACUCGAGUGGCGAACGGGUGAGUAACACGUGGGUGAUCUGCCCUGCACUUCGGGAUAAGCCUGGGAAACUGGGUCUAAUACCGGAUAGGAGCCAUUUUUAGUGUGAUGGUUGGAAAGUUUUUUCGGUGUAGGAUGAGCUCGCGGCCUAUCAGCUUGUUGGUGGGGUAAUGGCCUACCAAGGCGGCGACGGGUAGCCGGCCUGAGAGGGUGGACGGCCACACUGGGACUGAGAGACGGCACAGACGCCGACGGGAGGCAGAAGUGGGGAAGAUUGAACAAUGGGCGCAAGCCUGAUGCAGCGACGCCGCGUGGGGGAUGACGGCCUUCGGGUUGUAGACUCCGUUCGCUAGGGACGAAGCUUUUUGUGACGGUACCUAGAUAAGAAGCACCGGCUAACUACGUG